CAGUAGCCGCGGGAAUACGAAGGGUGCAAGCGUUACUCGGAAUUACUGGGCGUAAAGCGUGUGUAGGUGGUUGUUUAAGUCUGUCGUGAAAGCCCUGGGCUCAGCCUGGGAAUUGCGAUGGAUACUGGGCGACUAGAGUGCGGUAGAGGAUAGUGGAAUUUCCGGUGUAGCAGUGAAAUGCGUAGAGAUCGGAAGGAACAUCUGUGGCGAAGGCGACUAUCUGGGCCAACACUGACACUGAGACACGAAAGCGUGGGGAGCAAACAGGAUUAGAUACCCCCGUAGUCCCUGUCUCUUAUAC
This 301-nucleotide ribosomal RNA is filed under the name uncultured bacterium. RNAcentral describes it as "partial 16S ribosomal RNA". It matches the Rfam family "Bacterial small subunit ribosomal RNA", at positions 509 to 807 of the family's 1533-position model. The record is from RNAcentral.